This 618-nucleotide long non-coding RNA is filed under the name Physcomitrium patens. RNAcentral describes it as "long non-coding RNA (PPAT_LNC003095)". The record is from RNAcentral. Lineage: Eukaryota; Viridiplantae; Streptophyta; Bryopsida; Funariales; Funariaceae.
UUAAAUAAAAAUUGAAUCUAUUGUAUUUUGAAUUAUAAAUUGAAGAUUGAAAAGUCAAUAAUGGAAGAUAUUUGUGAUGUAUAGAUAUGAUUAGAAGAAUUAUAAUAUAUUAAUUUUUGAGAGUUGAAGGUGCUAUAAGAAGAAGUCUGUGGAGUCUGGAAUUGUAUAAAGUAGAUUAUUGGAAAUGACAAUUAAUUUUGGAGAAUUCCAGUGAUUAGAUUAUGAAAUAUUUUAUGCAAUCUUUUUUGAUAGUGCAAUAUUACCUAUUUUUGUCAUAAGUUAGGAGAGAAGAAGAGACAGUGAAUGCAUAAGAUAGAAUUUUUGAUUGUAAUAUUUUAUUUGAUAGAAUGUGGAAGGCAUUGUAGCUUUCUUGGUUGUUUUAAUUGAUCAAGAGACAGUUAAUUGUAUGACCCUAACAUGAAAAUUCAUAAAAAUAGUCUUUUCUUGUGUUCAAAUCCUUCUAUAUAGGUUUAUUUCAAUUCAAUUAGUCUAGAGUAAGUAAAAUGGUAAUCACACAUGCCAUAAUAAUUCAUGUGGAAGAUACUUCUUAGAUAGAUCAACAAUUCAAAAGACAAUGAGAGCAUGAUAUUAUUUAUCUACUAUGUUCUAAGAUAUAUA